AAUAGAAUCAACAUUACAUAAAUUCAAACCAUUAGCAAAGCAAAUUGGAAGCAAAGCUGACAUAACAAGCAAAGACAACUUAAAAAAGAAAACAAUGACAGACAAAAGAGGGCAAGUUUUAUUGGUUUUAAACGCACGCCCAAAAAGCUCCCAUGAGUGUCUACUUUUGAGUAAUAGACCACUGAUUUGAGAUCAUUCAAUUCAAGUGGAUUCAAACGCAGUGCUUUGUGCAGAAGCACCGGCGGCGGAAGCCCCUGCAAUGGCCGCCGUGGAAGCCUUCCGUUUUGCAGACAUGGCCACAGUUGUUCUUACUGAAGCACAGCCCCUUGAAGUGUCGGCUCGGAGAUUCACAUGUCCUUGCGUCUGUCACCAUGGGCCCCAUCCCAGUGGCAAGAAGCAGGAGGAGCAACAAAAUUGCAGCGGAAAAGAACUUC
This 434-nucleotide unclassified non-coding RNA is filed under the name Hevea brasiliensis (rubber tree). Lineage: Eukaryota; Viridiplantae; Streptophyta; Magnoliopsida; Malpighiales; Euphorbiaceae. The record is from RNAcentral.